AUGGUAUCAGAGUCGGAAAUGACUACUCAAACAAACUCCUCCUCCUCCUCAUCCGCUCUCAAAAUUCUUCUUCUACAUCCGCUUUUACCUCCACUGCCAUUGCUCAUACUUUUGCUGUCAAACUCAAUUUCUCCAAUUACCUUUCUUGGAAAACUCAAUUUAUUCCGCUUCUAAACUAUCAAAAUCUGAUGCAUUUUGUUGAUGGCUCUACUCGACCUCCUCCAAAGGAAAUCAUAACUGAGACAAAUCCACCCGUGCAUUUUCCAAAUCUAGAGUAUCAUGACUGGUCUAAGAAGGAUCAGAUGUUAAUGUCUUGGCUUUUUUCAUCUCUAUCUGAAGAAGUGUUCUCUUAUGUUGUGGGGCCUGACUUCUUCAGCUCAAGUUUGGAAUGCUCUAGGAAAUGCUUUUGGGUCUAUUUCUCAAAAUAGACAACUUCAGCUACAUAUAGACCUUCAAGAGUUAAAGAAAAAUGAUCUCUCUGUUUCACAGUACUUAUAAAAAGUAAACCGCUUGCCGAUGAAUUAGGUGCCGUCGGAAGAUCGUUAUCUACAGCUGAGUUCAAUGCAAUCAUCUACAGAAAUAUUGGAAGUGAAUUUCACCCUAUUAUCACAGCCUUAAAUGUUAGGCCGGAACCUGUUCCUUUCCAUGAACACCAUGGCCAACUAGUUACUCAUGAAAUUUUGUUAAAAAGCAACUCUGAAAACCCAGUAAUCAAUCAUGUCAAUGAGCCACCACUCUUAUCCACACUGAGACCUCACAAUGUCCAUACAUCCUACAGGCAUAGUAAUCUCAAUAAUCGCCCAAUUAUCAGAAUAAGGGGCCUUGCCAGAUAUGCGGUCUUCAUAACCAUUCUGCUGAUAGAUGCAGAAAUCGUUACACUUCAAGAUCAAGGGAACUACAAUCAAUAUCAGAAACCGUUACGUCUUGCCGGUCCUCAGUUCUCAAAUCAAGCCAAUCUUGCUUAUUAAAAUGGAGCACCAUGUUCGGCUCAAUCUGAUACCACAGGCUCGACUCUUCCAUGGUUCUCGAAUACUGGUGCUACGCAUCAUGUUGUUCCUGACGUUUCCAAUCUCAACAUCAAUGCUGAUUAUCGAGGUGGUAAUCAACUCCAAGUUGCUGAUGGUCAAGGUUUAAAUAUUCAUCAUACGGGCUCUACUACAAUUUCCUCAAAUUCUAAACCUCUUUACCUUAAUAAUGAUCAGGAACCCAAGAAGUACUACUCCGAGGACUGAGUUAACAUGGUCUCUACAAUUUACCAUCUCCAUCAAAGCUUCAAGCUCAUAUUGCACAGGCUUCCUUGGAAGAUUGGCAUGCAAGAUUAGGACAUUCUAAUAUGCAAACUAUAAAUAAAGUUGUUCAUCAAUUUCAUUUGCCUUGUUCUUUUUGUUCAAGUUUCUUGAAUUUCAAAUGUUCUUCAUGUUAUCAAGGGAAACUUAGUAAAUUUUCGUUUCCAUCUA
RNA transcript from Olea europaea var. sylvestris, 1457 nucleotides. RefSeq lists it as uncharacterized. The record is from RefSeq and is a predicted model, not a curated record. The transcript has 2 exons. NCBI's taxonomy places the organism in Eukaryota, Viridiplantae, Streptophyta, Magnoliopsida, Lamiales, Oleaceae.